RNAcentral lists this ribosomal RNA (492 nucleotides) under uncultured bacterium. RNAcentral's name for it is "partial 16S ribosomal RNA". It matches the Rfam family "Bacterial small subunit ribosomal RNA", at positions 29 to 507 of the family's 1533-position model. The record is from RNAcentral.
AGUGAACGCUGGCGGUAGGCCUAACACAUGCAAGUCGAACGGCAGCACAGUAAGAGCUUGCUCUUACGGGUGGCGAGUGGCGGACGGGUGAGGAAUACAUCGGAAUCUACUUUUUCGUGGGGGAUAACGUAGGGAAACUUAAGCUAAUACCGCAUACGACCUACGGGUGAAAGCAGGGGAUCUUCGGACCUUGCGCGAUUGAAUGAGCCGAUGUCGGAUUAGCUAGUUGGCGGGGUAAAGGCCCACCAAGGCGACGAUCCGUAGCUGGUCUGAGAGGAUGAUCAGCCACACUGGAACUGCAACACGGUCCAGACUCCUACGGGAGGCAGCAGUGGGGAAUAUUUGACAAUGGGCGCAAGCCUGAUCCAGCCAUGCCGCGUGGGUGAAGAAGGCCUUCGGGUUGUAAAGCCCUUUUGUUGGGAAAGAAAAUCAGCAGGUUAAUACCCCGCUGUUCUGACGGUACCCAAAGAAUAAGCAACGGCUAACUUCGUG